UUUCAUGUGUGCUACACAUUCCAAAAAAGUUGGGGCAGGUAGCAAUAAGAGGCCGUCUUAGUCACUGAUCAAUUAUUAAUUGUGCCUCCUAUCUACCCUUACCCUUUUUUACCUUUUAAUUCUCUGUAAGAACAGUGGAAGAACGUAAAGCUGUACCAGUCUGCAUUUUAUAAAAAUUAUAUAAAUUACACACACAAACACACACAGCAGCCUCUGAAAUCUGCUGUUUCUCAAGCUGAGAUUCAUAUCAACCCCAAUUAAUGAGAUUUAAUUUCAUUCUGUUUAUUGAGGUAAGAAAAUCUGAUCAGUUUGUGUUGAUUCGUUUUUACAGCAGUGUUUAAACCAGUAACUUUAUAAAUCAAUUCUCUCGUUGUGUGUGUAGGUGGUGUUUGAUAUGAGUCUGGCACGUGGCUUGGAUUACUACACUGGUGUAAUCUAUAAGGCUGUGCUGUGUCAGACUCUGCAGCCAGAGGUGGCGGUGGCCGCGGACAUGGUGGGGGUGAAGAAACACAGAAACGCAGGUUUUGGUGGCUUCGGAACAGAAGAACCUUCUGAAGUAGAGACUCUGAUUAACUCAUGAAUUGUGGGAUGCAAGAAUUAAGGACUCGCAGUGAAUUAUGGGUAAGAAGAAAGACCGGGAAAGUUACGGAACAAGAUGGCUAUGUCUCUGGAAUAGACAGCUAUGUGCAUAAAAUCCUGGUGAGGAAGAAACACGUGUGUGGACAUGAGCACGUGCAGGAGAAGUGAGUGGACUGGACCUGGCAGAAAAGCUGCUGAAGGACCCAAAGCUGUCUCAGAACAAGCAGGCGUGUGCCGACCUGAACAACAUGAAACUCCUGUUUAAUUACCUGCUGUUCUUCCAAAUCACAGAUAAGGCUGAGGUGCUUUAUAAAAAAAAAAAAAAAAAAAAAAACUGCUGACUCAGCUUCAGCACUGUGAGGAGAAAGGCAUCCCCUGGUGGCCAUUUUGGUGAUCACGAAUAACAAAAUGGAAUAUUUAAACUCAGCAAUGUGGCCACCAGAGAUGAGGUCAAGGUGUCCAGGGAAAAAGUGGUCGAGGAGAUAAAGAGGCGGACACUAAAUGUUUAAAUUGUUCAUUAUAAUUCUUUUUGUUAGUUCUGUUCAAUAAAAAUGUUCUAAUACAAUAAAAAUGUUCUAAUGUUCUA
Molecule: RNA transcript, 1165 nt
Organism: Silurus meridionalis
Lineage: Eukaryota; Metazoa; Chordata; Actinopteri; Siluriformes; Siluridae
Gene name: histidine--tRNA ligase-like
Exons: 6
Source: RefSeq, a predicted model, not a curated record